Molecule: long non-coding RNA, 1284 nt
Filed under: Marmota monax (woodchuck)
Lineage: Eukaryota; Metazoa; Chordata; Mammalia; Rodentia; Sciuridae
Source: RNAcentral
UUCAAAUACGUCAACCAGACAACACCAAAAAGCUAUUAAUUAUCACAUUUAAUCUUCUCAGUGUGACUUAACACACAUUCUCAGAUUAUCUACCUGUAUUGGACAUUGUCCUGAAUCCUGAGAAAGAAAUACCAUAAAUGUAAGAUCUCAUUGUCUACAGUGCAUAUUAUCGAAGGCAUAAAGCCUUCAAGAUAAAUAGAAAAUCUCCUUGAAUUGGCAGUGAGGAGUCUAGGCUAAAGAAACAUUCCAAAUCAGGGAAAGAAGAAAAGAUGUGCUUUGUGGAAGACAUUCGGUUAAUCAUUGAGGAAACUUUGUACGGUAUCCAGCAUACCCAGACCUUAUCCACCAGCCAACCUCAGGAGAGGUGAGGGAGAAAAGGCACUCAUCCGCAAUUUAAGCCUAAGGAUGAAGUUUAGCUGUAGAAAGACCCAAGACUGAAACGGAUGGGUCUGGACUGUUGCCUGAGUCCAGGAAUUUAGUGCCUUUGAUCACCUUUUGCAUACAGAGACCACUCAAUGAAGACCACUGGAUUUUAUAAUUAAAUGUUUUUCUCAAUAGGAACAAUUCCAAGAAAGCGUGUUGGCCUUAGGCCGAAUUUCUAGCAACAAUCAUGUCAUGAUCAAUUGGAAACGUCUGCAAAUACAUGUGUCAUGGGAAGUGAAGAGGUGUGUGCUGUUGCUAUUUUCCUAAUGAAUCUAUGUGUCCUUGUAAAACAGUUUAAGAGGGAGUAGCAUUGAGGAACCGAAAGUGGCCCGGAGAUCCAGCAAGCUUCCUCUGUGAAUGGAUUCCUCAGUCUGAAGGUUGGCGGGAUUUGGGGAGGGCUAAGGGAACUGCCAAAGAAGGUGCAAAUGUCAAAUAUGACUCCAGUUCACUGAACUGUAAUUUGGUAGAAAGUUAAGAGAAAUAGAAGUCGAUAUUACCAAGUAUGAACUUCACCUUCCUGAAAACAGUGCUGCUGUGGGUUCAGUUCAUGGGCUGGAGUAAUGAAUCAUAAUGACACCCCUUGCUGUGACCUCGGGGAAAAUAUCUGGCCUUUCUUGAGGUUUCAGCGGGUUCUCUUUUGACAGGCAUAGAGAAAACAAGAGGAGAGGGAAAUACCCUUUCAUUGUCACACUGCCAGGGAAGAAACCCACUUUAGAGGUCACAGUCGAUGACGAACACACUCAUGCAAAUGUUGUGCUGGCUUUCGCGCUCCAUUUCUUCACCGACUAUGUAGCUAAGCAAAAAAUGGAACAAGAAAUAGUGUCUUGGGAAAAAUGAAGUUGCUGGAUUUGAUGAUAGGCC